This 465-nucleotide ribosomal RNA is filed under the name uncultured Klebsiella sp. RNAcentral describes it as "bacterial SSU rRNA". It matches the Rfam family "Bacterial small subunit ribosomal RNA", at positions 338 to 795 of the family's 1533-position model. The record is from RNAcentral. Lineage: Bacteria; Pseudomonadati; Pseudomonadota; Gammaproteobacteria; Enterobacterales; Enterobacteriaceae.
CCUACGGGUGGCUGCAGUGGGGAAUAUUGCACAAUGGGCGCAAGCCUGAUGCAGCCAUGCCGCGUGUGUGAAGAAGGCCUUCGGGUUGUAAAGCACUUUCAGCGGGGAGGAAGGCGGUGAGGUUAAUAACCUCAUCGAUUGACGUUACCCGCAGAAGAAGCACCGGCUAACUCCGUGCCCGCAGCCGCGGUAAUACGGAGGGUGCAAGCGUUAAUCGGAAUUACUGGGCGUAAAGCGCACGCAGGCGGUCUGUCAAGUCGGAUGUGAAAUCCCCGGGCUCAACCUGGGAACUGCAUUCGAAGCUGGCAGGCUAGAGUCUUGUAGAGGGGGGUAGAAUUCCAGGUGUAGCGGUGAAAUGCGUAGAGAUCUGGAGGAAUACCGGUGGCGAAGGCGGCCUCCUGGACAAAGACUGACGCUCAGGUGCGAAAGCGUGGGGAGCAAACAGGAUUAGAUACCCCUGUAGUC